RNAcentral lists this ribosomal RNA (274 nucleotides) under uncultured bacterium. RNAcentral's name for it is "partial 16S ribosomal RNA". It matches the Rfam family "Bacterial small subunit ribosomal RNA", at positions 523 to 796 of the family's 1533-position model. The record is from RNAcentral.
AUACGGAGGGUGCGAGCGUUAAUCGGAAUUACUGGGCGUAAAGCGUACGUAGGCGGUUGGUUAAGUUAGAUGUGAAAGCCCCGGGCUUAACCUGGGAACUGCAUUUAAAACUGGCGAACUAGAGUUGAGUAGAGGGGAGUGGAAUUUCAGGUGUAGCGGUGAAAUGCGUAGAGAUCUGAAGGAACACCAGUGGCGAAGGCGACUCCCUGGACUAGAACUGACGCUGAGGUACGAAAGCGUGGGUAGCAAACGGGAUUAGAAACCCUAGUAGUCC